UACGUAGGGGGCAAGCGUUGUCCGGAAUUAUUGGGCGUAAAGCGCGCGCAGGCGGCUUUGUAAGUCUGGUGUUUAAACCUAGGGCUCAACCCUGGGUCGCAUUGGAAACUGCAAGGCUUGAGUGCAGAAGAGGAGAGUGGAACUGCGAGUGUAGAGGUGAAAUUCGUAGAUAUUCGCAAGAACACCAGUGGCGAAGGCGGCUCACUGGCCCGGUACUGACGCUGAGGUGCGAAAGCGUGGGGAGCAAACAGG
RNAcentral lists this ribosomal RNA (252 nucleotides) under uncultured bacterium. Its description in RNAcentral is "partial 16S ribosomal RNA". It matches the Rfam family "Bacterial small subunit ribosomal RNA", at positions 524 to 776 of the family's 1533-position model. The record is from RNAcentral.